RNAcentral lists this ribosomal RNA (1561 nucleotides) under Vibrio parahaemolyticus. RNAcentral's name for it is "bacterial SSU rRNA". It matches the Rfam family "Bacterial small subunit ribosomal RNA". The record is from RNAcentral. Lineage: Bacteria; Pseudomonadati; Pseudomonadota; Gammaproteobacteria; Vibrionales; Vibrionaceae.
AAAUUGAAGAGUUUGAUCAUGGCUCAGAUUGAACGCUGGCGGCAGGCCUAACACAUGCAAGUCGAGCGGAAACGAGUUAUCUGAACCUUCGGGGACGAUAACGGCGUCGAGCGGCGGACGGGUGAGUAAUGCCUAGGAAAUUGCCCUGAUGUGGGGGAUAACCAUUGGAAACGAUGGCUAAUACCGCAUGAUGCCUACGGGCCAAAGAGGGGGACCUUCGGGCCUCUCGCGUCAGGAUAUGCCUAGGUGGGAUUAGCUAGUUGGUGAGGUAAGGGCUCACCAAGGCGACGAUCCCUAGCUGGUCUGAGAGGAUGAUCAGCCACACUGGAACUGAGACACGGUCCAGACUCCUACGGGAGGCAGCAGUGGGGAAUAUUGCACAAUGGGCGCAAGCCUGAUGCAGCCAUGCCGCGUGUGUGAAGAAGGCCUUCGGGUUGUAAAGCACUUUCAGUCGUGAGGAAGGUAGUGUAGUUAAUAGCUGCAUUAUUUGACGUUAGCGACAGAAGAAGCACCGGCUAACUCCGUGCCAGCAGCCGCGGUAAUACGGAGGGUGCGAGCGUUAAUCGGAAUUACUGGGCGUAAAGCGCAUGCAGGUGGUUUGUUAAGUCAGAUGUGAAAGCCCGGGGCUCAACCUCGGAAUUGCAUUUGAAACUGGCAGACUAGAGUACUGUAGAGGGGGGUAGAAUUUCAGGUGUAGCGGUGAAAUGCGUAGAGAUCUGAAGGAAUACCGGUGGCGAAGGCGGCCCCCUGGACAGAUACUGACACUCAGAUGCGAAAGCGUGGGGAGCAAACAGGAUUAGAUACCCUGGUAGUCCACGCCGUAAACGAUGUCUACUUGGAGGUUGUGGCCUUGAGCCGUGGCUUUCGGAGCUAACGCGUUAAGUAGACCGCCUGGGGAGUACGGUCGCAAGAUUAAAACUCAAAUGAAUUGACGGGGGCCCGCACAAGCGGUGGAGCAUGUGGUUUAAUUCGAUGCAACGCGAAGAACCUUACCUACUCUUGACAUCCAGAGAACUUUCCAGAGAUGGAUUGGUGCCUUCGGGAACUCUGAGACAGGUGCUGCAUGGCUGUCGUCAGCUCGUGUUGUGAAAUGUUGGGUUAAGUCCCGCAACGAGCGCAACCCUUAUCCUUGUUUGCCAGCGAGUAAUGUCGGGAACUCCAGGGAGACUGCCGGUGAUAAACCGGAGGAAGGUGGGGACGACGUCAAGUCAUCAUGGCCCUUACGAGUAGGGCUACACACGUGCUACAAUGGCGCAUACAGAGGGCAGCCAACUUGCGAAAGUGAGCGAAUCCCAAAAAGUGCGUCGUAGUCCGGAUUGGAGUCUGCAACUCGACUCCAUGAAGUCGGAAUCGCUAGUAAUCGUGGAUCAGAAUGCCACGGUGAAUACGUUCCCGGGCCUUGUACACACCGCCCGUCACACCAUGGGAGUGGGCUGCAAAAGAAGUAGGUAGUUUAACCUUCGGGGGGACGCUUACCACUUUGUGGUUCAUGACUGGGGUGAAGUCGUAACAAGGUAGCGCUAGGGGAACCUGGCGCUGGAUCACCUCCUUAUACGAUGAU